RNAcentral lists this ribosomal RNA (433 nucleotides) under uncultured bacterium. Its description in RNAcentral is "partial 16S ribosomal RNA". It matches the Rfam family "Bacterial small subunit ribosomal RNA", at positions 29 to 507 of the family's 1533-position model. The record is from RNAcentral.
AACGAACGCUGGCGGCAUGCCUAACACAUGCAAGUCGAACGAGAACUUCCGGCCUUGUGGCGCAGGUGUGGUUAACGCCUGGGAACUUGCCCGUGGGUUCGGAACAACUCACCGUAGGGGGUGUUAAUACCGGAUGGUCUAUUCCGGCCUAAGAUUUCUCGCGAUUGGAUGGGCCUGUGUUGGAUUAGCUAGUUGGUAGGGGAGUAGCCUGCCAAGGCGACGAUGCAUAGCUGGUCGGAGAGGAGGAUCAGCCACACUGGAACUGAGACACGGCCCAGUCGCCUACGGAAGAGAGCGGUGGGGAAUAUUGGAGGAUGAGGCAGAGCAUGAUCCAGCAGUGCCGCGGGAGUGAGGAAGGCCUUAGGAUUGUAAAUCCGUUUUCCCCGAGAUGUGAAUGACAGUACCGGGAGAAUAAGCUCCGGCUAACUCCGUG